GGGCAAGAGCCGGAUGCAGCGACGCCGCGUGGGGGAUGACGGCCUUCGGGUUGUAAACCUCUUUCAUUAGGGACCAAGCUUAAGUGACGGUACCUGCAGAAGAAGCCACGGCCAACUACGUGCCAGCAGCCGCGGUAAUACGUAGGGUGCGAGCGUUGUCCGGAAUUACUGGGCGUAAAGAGCUCGUAGGUGGUUUGUCGCGUUGUACGUGAAAUCUCACAGCUUAACUGCGAGCGUGCGUUCGAUACGGGCAGACUGGAGUACUGCAGGGGAGACUGGAAUUCCU
Molecule: ribosomal RNA, 286 nt
Filed under: uncultured bacterium
Lineage: Bacteria
Description: partial 16S ribosomal RNA
Rfam family: Bacterial small subunit ribosomal RNA
Source: RNAcentral